GGGUUGUGAGGUUAAGCGACUAAGCGUACACGGUGGAUGCCCUGGCAGUCAGAGGCGAUGAAGGACGUGCUAAUCUGCGAUAAGCGCCGGUAAGGUGAUAUGAACCGUUAUAACCGGCGAUUUCCGAAUGGGGAAACCCAGUGUGAUUCGUCACACUAUCAUUACGUGAAUACAUAGCGUAAUGAAGCGAACCGGGGGAACUGAAACAUCUAAGUACCCCGAGGAAAAGAAAUCAACCGAGAUUCCCCCAGUAGCGGCGAGCGAACGGGGAGGAGCCCAGAGCCUGAAUCAGCAUGUGUGUUAGUGGAAGCGUCUGGAAAGGCGCGCGAUACAGGGUGACAGCCCCGUACACAAAAGCGCAUGUGCUGUGAGCUCGAUGAGUAGGGCGGGACACGUGGUAUCCUGUCUGAAUAUGGGGGGACCAUCCUCCAAGGCUAAAUACUCCUGACUGACCGAUAGUGAACCAGUACCGUGAGGGAAAGGCGAAAAGAACCCCGGCGAGGGGAGUGAAAAAGAACCUGAAACCGUGUACGUACAAGCAGUGGGAGCCCCACCACUAAGCCAGUGGUGAACUCCACAUACGCAUCCUUUGCUGAGGAUACGGUUAACGGAGCGAAAGCGACGUUCAACCGCAAAAGAAGCAGAGGGGGCUUAGUGGUGGGGUGACUGCGUACCUUUUGUAUAAUGGGUCAGCGACUUAUAUUCUGUAGCAAGGUUAACCGAAUAGGGGAGCCGCAGGGAAACCGAGUCUUAAUUGGGCGUUAAGUUGCAGGGUAUAGACCCGAAACCCGGUGAUCUAGCCAUGGGCAGGUUGAAGGUUGGGUAACACUAACUGGAGGACCGAACCGACUAAUGUUGAAAAAUUAGCGGAUGACCUGUGGCUGGGGGUGAAAGGCCAAUCAAACCGGGAGAUAGCUGGUUCUCCCCGAAAGCUAUUUAGGUAGCGCCUCGUGAAUUCAUCUCCGGGGGUAGAGCACUGUUUCGGCUAGGGGGCCAUCCCGGCUUACCAACCCGAUGCAAACUGCGAAUACCGGAGAAUGUUAUCACGGGAGACACACGGCGGGUGCUAACGUCCGUCGUGAAGAGGGAAACAACCCAGACCGCCAGCUAAGGUCCCAAAGUCAUGGUUAAGUGGGAAACGAUGUGGGAAGGCCCAGACAGCCAGGAUGUUGGCUUAGAAGCAGCCAUCAUUUAAAGAAAGCGUAAUAGCUCACUGGUCGAGUCGGCCUGCGCGGAAGAUGUAACGGGGCUAAACCAUGCACCGAAGCUGCGGCAGCGACGCUGAUGCGUUGUUGGGUAGGGGAGCGUUCUGUAAGCCUGUGAAGGUGUGUCGUGAGGCAUGCUGGAGGUAUCAGAAGUGCGAAUGCUGACAUAAGUAACGAUAAAGCGGGUGAAAAGCCCGCUCGCCGGAAGACCAAGGGUUCCUGUCCAACGUUAAUCGGGGCAGGGUGAGUCGACCCCUAAGGCGAGGCCGAAAGGCGUAGUCGAUGGGAAACGGGUUAAUAUUCCCGUACUUGGUGUUACUGCGAAGGGGGGACGGAGAAGGCUAUGUUGGCCGGGCGACGGUUGUCCCGGUUUAAGCGUGUAGGUGUGUGUUCCAGGUAAAUCCGGUUCACUUUAACACUGAGGCGUGAUGACGAGGCACUACGGUGCUGAAGCAACAAAUGCCCUGCUUCCAGGAAAAGCCUCUAAGCAUCAGGUAACAUCAAAUCGUACCCCAAACCGACACAGGUGGUCAGGUAGAGAAUACCAAGGCGCUUGAGAGAACUCGGGUGAAGGAACUAGGCAAAAUGGUGCCGUAACUUCGGGAGAAGGCACGCUGACACGUAGGUGAAGUGAUUUACUCACGGAGCUGAAGUCAGUCGAAGAUACCAGCUGGCUGCAACUGUUUAUUAAAAACACAGCACUGUGCAAACACGAAAGUGGACGUAUACGGUGUGACGCCUGCCCGGUGCCGGAAGGUUAAUUGAUGGGGUCAGCGCAAGCGAAGCUCCUGAUCGAAGCCCCGGUAAACGGCGGCCGUAACUAUAACGGUCCUAAGGUAGCGAAAUUCCUUGUCGGGUAAGUUCCGACCUGCACGAAUGGCGUAAUGAUGGCCAGGCUGUCUCCACCCGAGACUCAGUGAAAUUGAACUCGCUGUGAAGAUGCAGUGUACCCGCGGCAAGACGGAAAGACCCCGUGAACCUUUACUAUAGCUUGACACUGAACAUUGAGCCUUGAUGUGUAGGAUAGGUGGGAGGCUUUGAAGUGUGGACGCCAGUCUGCAUGGAGCCGACCUUGAAAUACCACCCUUUAAUGUUUGAUGUUCUAACGUGGACCCGUAAUCCGGGUUGCGGACAGUGUCUGGUGGGUAGUUUGACUGGGGCGGUCUCCUCCUAAAGAGUAACGGAGGAGCACGAAGGUUGGCUAAUCCUGGUCGGACAUCAGGAGGUUAGUGCAAUGGCAUAAGCCAGCUUGACUGCGAGCGUGACGGCGCGAGCAGGUGCGAAAGCAGGUCAUAGUGAUCCGGUGGUUCUGAAUGGAAGGGCCAUCGCUCAACGGAUAAAAGGUACUCCGGGGAUAACAGGCUGAUACCGCCCAAGAGUUCAUAUCGACGGCGGUGUUUGGCACCUCGAUGUCGGCUCAUCACAUCCUGGGGCUGAAGUAGGUCCCAAGGGUAUGGCUGUUCGCCAUUUAAAGUGGUACGCGAGCUGGGUUUAGAACGUCGUGAGACAGUUCGGUCCCUAUCUGCCGUGGGCGCUGGAGAACUGAGGGGGGCUGCUCCUAGUACGAGAGGACCGGAGUGGACGCAUCACUGGUGUUCGGGUUGUCAUGCCAAUGGCACUGCCCGGUAGCUAAAUGCGGAAGAGAUAAGUGCUGAAAGCAUCUAAGCACGAAACUUGCCCCGAGAUGAGUUCUCCCUGAGACUUUAAGUCUCCUGAAGGAACGUUGAAGACGACGACGUUGAUAGGCCGGGUGUGUAAGCGCAGCGAUGCGUUGAGCUAACCGGUACUAAUGAACCGUGAGGCUUAACCUUACAACGCCGAAG
This 3028-nucleotide ribosomal RNA is filed under the name Salmonella enterica subsp. enterica serovar Inverness str. ATCC 10720. Its description in RNAcentral is "bacterial LSU rRNA". It matches the Rfam family "Bacterial large subunit ribosomal RNA". The record is from RNAcentral. Lineage: Bacteria; Pseudomonadati; Pseudomonadota; Gammaproteobacteria; Enterobacterales; Enterobacteriaceae.